RNAcentral lists this ribosomal RNA (460 nucleotides) under uncultured bacterium. Its description in RNAcentral is "partial 16S ribosomal RNA". It matches the Rfam family "Bacterial small subunit ribosomal RNA", at positions 338 to 795 of the family's 1533-position model. The record is from RNAcentral.
CCUACGGGUGGCAGCAGUGAGGAAUAUUGGUCAAUGGACGCAAGUCUGAACCAGCAAUGCCGCGUGCAGGAUGACGGCUCUAUGAGUUGUAAACUGCUUUUGUACGAGGGUAAACCCCGAUACGUGUAUCGGGUUGACAGUAUCGUACGACUAAGGAUCGGCUAACUCCGUGCCAGCGGCCGCGGUAAUACGGAGGAUCCGAGCGUUCACCGGAUUUGUUGGGUUUAAAGGGUGCGUCGGCGGUUUGAUAAGUCAGAGGUGAAAUGCCGGGGCUCAACCCCGGAACUGACUCUAAAACUGUUUGACUAGAGUAUAGGUGCGGUAGGCGGAAUGUAUGGUGUAGCGGUGAAAUGCGUAGAGAUCAGACAGAACACCGAUUGCGAAGGCAGCUUACCAAACUAUAUCUGACGGUGAGGCACGAAAGCGUGGGUAGCAAACAGGAUUAGAUACCCGGGUAGUC